UACGUAGGGGGCUAGCGUUGUCCGGAUUUAUUGGGCGUAAAGAGCGUGUAGGCGGCCAGGUAGGUCUGCUGUGAAAACUCGAGGCUCAACCUCGAGACGUCGGCGGAAACCAUCUGGCUAGAGUCCGGAAGAGGAGAGUGGAAUUCCUGGUGUAGCGGUGAAAUGCGCAGAUAUCAGGAAGACCAGUGGCGAAGGCGGAUCUCUGGACAGUUCCUGACGCUGAGGCGCGAAGGCCAGGGGAGCAAACGGG
Molecule: ribosomal RNA, 250 nt
Filed under: uncultured bacterium
Lineage: Bacteria
Description: partial 16S ribosomal RNA
Rfam family: Bacterial small subunit ribosomal RNA
Source: RNAcentral